This 291-nucleotide ribosomal RNA is filed under the name Listeria monocytogenes. RNAcentral describes it as "partial 16S ribosomal RNA". It matches the Rfam family "Bacterial small subunit ribosomal RNA", at positions 1252 to 1533 of the family's 1533-position model. Lineage: Bacteria; Bacillati; Bacillota; Bacilli; Caryophanales; Listeriaceae. The record is from RNAcentral.
AAGCCGCGAGGUGGAGCUAAUCCCAUAAAACUAUUCUCAGUUCGGAUUGUAGGCUGCAACUCGCCUACAUGAAGCCGGAAUCGCUAGUAAUCGUGGAUCAGCAUGCCACGGUGAAUACGUUCCCGGGCCUUGUACACACCGCCCGUCACACCACGAGAGUUUGUAACACCCGAAGUCGGUAGGGUAACCUUUAUGGAGCCAGCCGCCGAAGGUGGGACAGAUAAUUGGGGUGAAGUCGUAACAAGGUAGCCGUAUCGGAAGGUGCGGCUGGAUCACCUCCUUUCUAAGGAA